CUUCGGCUAUUUUAAUCUUAAAUUUGAUGUGUGCAGUAAGUUGUGUUUGUUAGUGGAGCGUGCAGUGAGUGUCAGUGAGGGGAGUGGGCAUUAAGUAUGCAUCUGUUGAAAAUGUGUGUGAUGUGUGUCUGUGUAAAUUAGUGGGAGUGUACAGAGGAAUUUUAUGCGUGAGGGAGUUUGCAGUUAGUGCAGUGAAUCUGUGUGUUU
Non-coding RNA from Pelobates cultripes (western spadefoot toad), 207 nucleotides. The record is from the annotation of a GenBank genome assembly. Lineage: Eukaryota; Metazoa; Chordata; Amphibia; Anura; Pelobatidae.